GCUGACGGGAGGGAGAGCGGCCUGGGGCGAGGUUGUGAGUGCGGUGCCGUGGUGUGGCGUGGAAGGCGCGUGUGGGCCGAGUGUGCGUGGGUGCGCGAAUGUGUGCGUGUGCGCGAGUGGGGCGUGCUAGGCGAGUGUGCGCGCCCGCCCCUGCGCCCCUCCCCCCGCCUACACCUUGAUCUUAUUUGAUCGGGUGGUGGCCCCCGCCGCGCCGGGCAGGCCCGAAAUGAAAAGCUCUCCUCCUGCGAAGCCCCCUCUUCGGGGCGCUGUGCAGCGAGGCCCCUUGGGCGGCGGCAGCGCCGCGGUCUCCGAGGUCCCGGAGCGGGUCCUGCGGGGCCCGGCGCUCAGAAGUGAUGAAUUGAUCAGAUAGACGAGGCCGGGCUUGUCCCGGGCCGCUGAUUAUCGAGGCGAUUCUGAUCUGA
This is a non-coding RNA of Lemur catta (Ring-tailed lemur), 422 nucleotides long. RefSeq annotates it as small Cajal body-specific RNA 2. The record is from RefSeq and is a predicted model, not a curated record. Lineage: Eukaryota; Metazoa; Chordata; Mammalia; Primates; Lemuridae. The transcript has a single exon.